UAUUAGGAUGGUGCAAAAGGAAUUGCGGUUUUUGCCAUUGAAAAUAAUGGCAAAAACCGCAAUUCCUUUUGCACCAACCCAAUA
Homo sapiens (human) is the source of this 84-nucleotide microRNA precursor. It matches the Rfam family "mir-548 microRNA precursor family". Lineage: Eukaryota; Metazoa; Chordata; Mammalia; Primates; Hominidae. The record is from Rfam.